AUGAAAGAGAAGCGCAAAGAACCUAGACAACAGAAUAGUUUGAAAGCUUUAAGAAAUCAAUAAACCUCGUCAAGAAAAUAAAAAGACUAGAUUAUUGAGAAAUAACUAGCUAUCCGACAGGAUAAGCGAAAAGCUUAAAAAAGUCAAACCCAUCCGAAAGGAAAAAAAGCUUUACUUGAGUAGGAAGAGAUUCUGAAAGGAUAAAGACACCAUGGAGAGUUUGAUCCUGGCUCAGGAUGAACGCUGGCGGUAUGCUUAACACAUGCAAGUCGAACGGUACUUCGGUGAUAGUGGCGGACGGGUGAGUAACGCGUAAGAAUCUACCUAUAGGUUCGGGACAACAGUUAGAAAUGACUGCUAAUACCGGAUGUGCCUUCGGGUGAAAGUUUUAAUGCCUAUAGAUGAGCUUGCGUCCGAUUAGCUAGAUGGAGUGGUAACGGCACACCAUGGCGACGAUCGGUAGCUGGUCUGAGAGGAUGACCAGUCACACUGGAACUGAGACACGGUCCAGACUCCUACGGGAGGCAGCAGUGGGGAAUUUUCCGCAAUGGGCGAAAGCCUGACGGAGCAAUACCGCGUGAGGGACGAAGGUCUGUGGAUUGUAAACCUCUUUUGUUAGGGAAGAUAAUGACGGUACCUAACGAAUAAGCAUCGGCUAACUCCGUGCCAGCAGCCGCGGUAAGACGGAGGAUGCAAGCGUUAUCCGGAAUUAUUGGGCGUAAAGCGUACGUAGGCUGUUAGAUAAGUCUGUUGUCAAAGCGCGAGGCUCAACCUUGUAAAGGCAAUGGAAACUGUUUGACUAGAGAGAGAUAGGGGCAGGAGGAAUUCCAGGUGUAGCGGUGAAAUGCGUAGAUAUCUGGAAGAACACCAGUGGCGAAAGCGUCCUGCUGGAUCUCAACUGACGCUGAAGUACGAAAGCUAGGGGAGCGAAUGGGAUUAGAUACCCCAGUAGUCCUAGCCGUAAACGAUGGGUACUAGGUGUUGGUCGUAUCGACCCGAUCAGUGCCGUAGCUAACGCGUUAAGUACCCCGCCUGGGGAGUACGGUCGCAAGAUUGAAACUCAAAGGAAUUGACGGGGGCCCGCACAAGCGGUGGAGUAUGUGGUUUAAUUCGAUGCAACGCGAAGAACCUUACCAAGGCUUGACAUGUCGUGAAUCCUCUUGAAAGGGAGGAGUGCCUUCGGGAGCACGAACACAGGUGGUGCAUGGCUGUCGUCAGCUCGUGUCGUGAGAUGUUGGGUUAAGUCCCGCAACGAGCGCAACCCUCGUAUUUAGUUGCCAUCAUUAAGUUGGGCACUCUAGAUAGACUGCCGGUGACAAACCGGAGGAAGGUGGGGAUGACGUCAAGUCAUCAUGCCCCUUACGCCUUGGGCUACACACGUACUACAAUGGCCGGGACAAAGAGUUGCGAGCAUGCGAAUGCAAGCUAAUCUCAUAAACCCGGUCUUAGUUCAGAUUGCAGGCUGCAACUCGCCUGCAUGAAGGCGGAAUCGCUAGUAAUCGCAGGUCAGCAUACUGCGGUGAAUACGUUCCCGGGCCUUGUACACACCGCCCGUCACACCAUGGAAGCUGGUCACGCCCGAAGUCGUUAUCUCAACCCGCAAGGGAGGGAGGCGCCUAAGGCAGGGCUGGUGACUGGGGUGAAGUCGUAACAAGGUAGCCGUACCGGAAGGUGCGGCUGGAUCACCUCCUUAUAGGGAGACCUAUUUAACUUUAGACCGAAACAAUACAGUAAUAAGUCAAAGUUAAGUCAUCCCAAGGUCGUUCGAGAUUUAUUGGAAAGCUUUCAAACUAAGUCAGGUUCUGAAUCAAGCUAAUAAAAAGCAACAAAGGGCCAUUAGCUCAGUUGGUUAGAGCGCACGGCUGAUAACCGUGAGGUCACUGGUUCGUGUCCAGUAUGGCCCACUUGAGAAAAUUUUAGCAAAGCCGCAAGGAAUAGCUAAGAAAAACUCUGGGGAUAUAGCUCAGUUGGUAGAGCGCUUGCCUUGCACGCAUGAAGUCAGGAGUUCGAAUCUCCUUAUCUCCACCAAACUACUAACAAGACCAACGAAAGCGACAGCAAGAGUUUAGCAACUCAUCUAGUCAGGCAAGCAGCCAACAACUAGAGAGACUGCUAAAUUCUAGCGAAAGCGAAGAAUUUAGAAAGAACCUUGAAAACUGCAUAGUAAUAGUAAUAAGAAGCAAGUAGAUCCAAAGUGGAAACACAGAGGUCAAGCUACAAAGGGCUCACGGUGGAUACCUAGGCACAAGAAGGCGAUGAAGGACGUGGUUACCUACGAUAAGCUGCGGGGAGCUGGAAGCAAGCCCUGAUCCGCAGGUUUCCGAAUGGGGCAACCCUAAAUACUGCUCGUUGAAUAAAAUAGACGGGAAAGAGCAAACUCAGCGAAUUGAAACAUCUUAGUAGCUGAAGGAAGAGAAAAUAAACAAUGAUUUCCUAAGUAGCGGCGAGCGAACGGGAAAAAGCCCAAACCAAUUGGCAAGACCGAUUGGGGUUAUAGGACAGCGACACUGUACAGAAUAGAUUAGAUGAAGUGUUUGGAAUGACACGCUAUAGAGAGUGAAAGCCUCGUAAUUAAAAAUCGAAACUGACUAGCUGGAUCCUGAGUAGCACGGUACACGAGAAAUUCCGUGUGAAUUCGCCGGGACCACCCGGUAAGGCUAAAUACUCACUUGUGACCGAUAGUGAACGAGUACCGCGAGGGAAAGGUGAAAAGAACCCCGGAAGGGGAGUGAAAUAGAACAUGAAACCGUGAGCUUACAAGCAAUGGGAGGACGAUUUAACGUCUGACCGUGUGCCUGUUGAAGAAUGAGCCGGCGACUUAUAUGCAGUGGCAGGUUAAGGGGAAAAUCCCGAAGCCAAAGCGAAAGCGAGUUUGAUAAGAGCGAUAGUCACUGUAUAUAGACCCGAACCCGGGUGAUCUAACCAUGGGCAGGAUGAAGCUUGGGUAACACCAAGUGGAGGUCCGAACCGACUGAUGUUGAAAAAUCAGCGGAUGACCUGUGGUUAGGGGUGAAAUGCCAAUCGAACCCGGAGCUAGCUGGUUCUCCCCGAAAUAUGUUGAGGCAUAGCGGUAUUGAUUAUAGUCUGGGGGUAAAGCACUGAAUCGGUGCGGGCUGGGAAACCGGUACCAAAUCGAAUCAAACUCUGAAUACCAGAUGCACACAAUGCCAGUCAGACUGUGGGGGAUAAGCUCCAUGGUCAAGAGGGAAACAGCCCAGAUCACCAGUUAAGGUCCCAAAGCCAUCGCUAAGUGAUAAAGGAGGUGGGGAUACAGAGACAACCAGGAGGUUUGCUUAGAAGCAGCCACCCUUGAAAGAGUGCGUAAUAGCUCACUGGUCAAGUGUCCCUGCGCCGAAAAUGAACGGGGCUAAGCGAUGCACCGAAGCUGUGGGAUUAAUAUAUUAAUCGGUAGGGGAGCGUUCUGUAGUAGGUAGAAGCAUUAGCGUAAGCAGAUGUGGACGAAGCAGAAGUGAGAAUGUCGGCUUGAGUAGCGCAAAUAUAUGUGAGAAUCAUAUACCCCAAAAACCCAAGGUUUUCUACGCAAGGCUCGUCCACGUAGAGUUAGUCGGGACCUAAGGCGAGGUCGAAAGGCGUAGUCGAUGGACACAGGGUCAACAUUCCCUGACUAUUAAAUUGGAGUAUAUACAGGACGCAUCAGAAAUAGUCACGCCCUAAUUGGAUUGGGAGGGCUCUACGGAGUCUGAGUGAUGAAAUGCAGUGCCAAGAAAAGCCGUAUAUGUGAUGAAGAUUUAGUACCCGUACCCCAAACCGACACAGGUGGGUAGGUUGAGUAUACUAAGGGGCGCGAGAUAACUCUCUCUAAGGAACUCGGCAAAAUGGCCCCGUAACUUCGGGAGAAGGGGUGCCAUCGCAAGAUGGCCGCAGUGAAAUGAUCCAAGCGACUGUUUACCAAAAACACAGGUCUCUGCAAAGUCGAAAGACGACGUAUAGGGGCUGACGCCUGCCCAGUGCCGGAAGGUUAAGGAAGUUGGUCAGCGAAAGUGAAGCUAACGACUGAAGCCCCGGUGAACGGCGGCCGUAACUAUAACGGUCCUAAGGUAGCGAAAUUCCUUGUCAGGUAAGUUCUGACCCGCACGAAAGGCGUAACGAUUUGGAUGCUGUCUCGGAGAGAGACUCGGCGAAAUAGGAUUGUCUGUGAAGAUACGGACUACUUGCACCCGGACAGAAAGACCCUAUGAAGCUUUACUAUAACUUGGAAUUGGGUUCGGGCUUCUCUUGCGCAGGAUAGGUGGGAGACUAAGAGAUUGUCCUUGUGGGGACAAAGGAGUCAACGGUGAGAUACCACUCUGGAGAGGCUAGAAUUCUAACCUUGACCCGUGAUCCGGGCGAGGAACAGUUUCAGGCGGGUAGUUUGACUGGGGCGGUCGCCUCCUAAAAAGUAACGGAGGCGCGCAAAGGUUCCCUCAGGCUGGUCGGAAAUCAGCCAAAGAGUGUAAAAGCAUAAGGGAGCUUGACUGCAAGACCAACAAGUCAAGCAGGGACGAAAGUCGGCUUUAGUGAUCCGACGGCACAGCGUGGAAUGGCCGUCGCUCAACGGAUAAAAGUUACUCUAGGGAUAACAGGCUGAUCUCCCCCAAGAGUUCACAUCGACGGGGAGGUUUGGCACCUCGAUGUCGGCUCAUCGCAACCUGGUGCGGAAGUACGUGCCAAGGGUUGGGCUGUUCGCCCAUUAAAGCGGUACGUGAGCUGGGUUCAGAACGUCGUGAGACAGUUCGGUCCAUAUCCGGUGCAAGCGCAAGAAUAUUGAGAGGACUCCUCCUUAGUACGAGAGGACCGGGAGGAACGCACCGCUGGUGUACCAGUUAUCGUGCCAACGGUAAACGCUGGGUAGCUAUGUGCGGAGAGGAUAACCGCUGAAAGCAUCUAAGUGGGAAGCCCACCUCAAGAUGAGUAUUCUCAUGGGAAAACCCAGUAAGGUCACAGGUAGAUUACCUGUUUGAUAGGCUUUAGGUGUAAGUGUAGUAAUAUGCGUAGCCAAGAAGUACUAAUAGACCGAGGGCUUGUCCUCAAUAUUCCGCAAUUAAAUCUACAAAUAUCGAAAUUACUAUUACUGUGCAGCUUUCAAGGCUCUGAACCAAUCAGGUAGACCUUAUAAGUUUGCUUGGUGUCUAUGGUGCGGUGGAACCACUCUGACCCAUCCCGAACUCAG
This 5170-nucleotide ribosomal RNA is filed under the name Pseudanabaena limnetica NIVA-CYA 276/6. The record is from RNAcentral. Lineage: Bacteria; Bacillati; Cyanobacteriota; Cyanophyceae; Pseudanabaenales; Pseudanabaenaceae.